CUGCCCGGCGUGGCGCCCCCGCGACGAGCGGAGGCGGCGGUGCGGGCGGUCGCGGAGGUGCGCGUCCCCGCCCGCCCGGUGGCCCGCGGAAACGCCCUCCCUGCAGGAGCCUCUUUGGGAAACCGGCGGAGGGGGGCGACUGAGGCGGGGAGACGCGACAGCUGUCUGCAGGCGUCCCGAGACCCGGGGCCUGGGCACCUGCAGGGCGCCAGCUUGCACUUGUGCCCUUCGCUGCGUCGGGGUGACCGCGGCCUGCACUCUCAGGCCUCAGUUUACCCUUGUGUACAGUGGGCGACGGCGACCUCCUGGGCUAGAAGGCACGUUCCGUGAGCACUUCCGGGACUCGGUCACGGGGCCGGUCUGGCGCGGGGAGGGUGAGUUGUCACCCCGCACACACCUGGCGGCGCCCGGGACGUGGCUGUCUCGGAUUGAGGCGGAGCUCAAGGCGUCGGGCGGCCGGGAUGCCUCCCGCGUCCCCGAGCGGAGGUGGCGGCGGGCGCGUCCCCGCGGACCAGGGAGGGUGAACCCGGCUCUAGGGCCCGCUCAGGGCGGGGCGGGGCGGUCAGCGCGGCCCCGGCCACCUCUGCGGGCCGCGGUGGGACCCGAGCCCGCGCCCUCGUCCCGGCCUUCUCGCACCGGGAGCUGUUGCUUUCAGCCCACCUCCUUAGGGCUUUAAAAUAAAGACUCCAGCGAGCUCUGCUGCACUUCGUCUCGCACGUCUCACCGCUGCUAGCUGAAAGCCCCUAAGUACGGCCUUUAAUUGAUAAGCCAUUGAAAGCAAAGCCUAGAUUUUCUGUAUAUAAAAUGAAUAUCGAAGCUGGGAGUGUGACUCAGGCGGAGCGCUCGCCUGGCAUGUUCCAGGCCCUGGGUUCCUCAGAGGACGAGAAGAUGUGAACAGGUAGCGCUGUAAGUGGUAACGUGAGGUUGCUAUGGAAUGAUUGGUAGUUACUCCAGUGUUAGUCACAAGCUGGGCUCUGUGGCCACACCUGGCAUUCCAGCAACUCUGAGGCUGAGGCAAGAGGACCACAAGCUUGAGGCCAGCCUCAGCCACUUAGCAAGACCCUGUCUCAAAAUAAUAAAAGGGCUGGGAUACAGCUCAGUGGUAAAGUAUCCUUAGGUUCAAUCCCCACCACUAAAAGAAACAACAACAAAAUCCCACAAACAAGCCGGGCUAGGUAGCGCAUUCCUGUUAUCCCAGCAGCUCUGGAGGCUGAGGUAGGAGGAUCACAAGUUCAAAGCCAGCCUCAGCAACAGCAAGGUGCUGAGCAACUCAGUGAGACCCUGUCUCAAUACAAAAUAGGGCUGGGGAUGUGGCUCAGUGUCCAGAGUUCAAUCCCUAGUGUCUAGGACUUAGGGGAUGCCGGGUAGGGGACCAGUCCGUGGUAAAUGCAUGCUGCCUUGCUGUGCAGCAGAGGCCUCUCGAGAGCUGGGAGUUGCUCUGAGCAGCUCUCUUCUGUCCUUCCCUCCUUCCUUCCUUCCUUCCUUCCCUCCUUCCUUCCUUCCUAUGCUGAGGAUUGAACGUAGGGAUGUCUUACCACUGAGCUACAUGGUAUACCCACAGUCAGGUUUUGGUGUUUUGCUUUUGUACCAGGGACUGAACCCAUGGGGGGCUUAACCACUGAGCCACAUCCCUAGCCCUUUUUGUUUUUUUUUUUUUUUGUUUAGAGACAGGGUCUCGCUAAGUUGCUGAGGCUGGCUCUGAACUCACCAUCUCCUGCUUCAGCCUCCCAGCCGAGGGGAUUACAGGUGUGCACCACCAUGCCAGGCUCAUUUUUAUUUUUUUGAGACAGGGUCUGACUGAGCUGCAGAGCCUGGCCUCAAACCUGCAAUCCUCCUGCCUCCGACUCCAGAGUUGCUGGGAUGACAGACCAGCACCAAUGCUCCUGGCUCUCUACCCUUUAGUAAUUACAAUUUCCUUUUAAGUGUAAAUUUCCUUCAUUAAAGGGGAGAUUUGUAUUUUAUUUUAAGCAGAUGAAAGGGAGUGGAAGCAUUUUUUUCAGUGUUGGCUGCUUCUCAGUUUCUUUUUGCUCAAAAUAAUCAACAUACCUAGAGGCAGGAGGAGGGGUGGCCUGUUCUGACUUCCUUCACCUUGUUUGUCAUCAGUUUGUUUUUUUUUUCCUCUCCUAAGCAAAUUUGAGUCGUGAUUUCAAAGCCCAACUGGGAUAGAAUCCCUUCUUUAUUAACAUGGUUCAUCUGGCUGGGGUUGUGGCUCGGUGGUGGAGUGCCCGCCUAGCAUGCAUGAGGCACUGGGUUCGAUCCUCAGAACCACAUAAAUGUGGAAUAAAGAUAUUGUGUCCACCUAAAACUAAGAAAUAAAAUAAAUAUUUAAAAAAAAGAAAAGAGGUUACUUUCUAAAAAAAAAUUAACAUGGUUCAUCUUAGAGAAUCUUUAAAAAGUAACAUAAUUUUUAAGACACACACUAGGUGUGUGCUAAGUUUCUGUUACUGUAACCAGUACCCAAGAUGAUCAGGUCAGGAUGGGCACAGUCUGCACACCUGCAAGCCCAGCAAUCUGGGAGGCUGACACAGGAGGACCACAAGCUCAAGGCCAGCCUCAGCAACAUAGCAAGGUCCUGUCUCAAAAGAAACAAAGGUCGGGGUGCAGCUCAGUGGUAUGUGGGGACAGGUGCAUGGAGUACUGCAUACAUGGCAUACAUUAAGGGUGUCUGAGUGGCAGGCCGCUCCCCUCGUGCUUGGUGUGUGAGUGGCAAACCACUUACUCCUUAGGCACAGCCCUGGGCGUGAGGCGCAUGUUGCAGUCCCUGCACCUGCUCCAUGCCCCACUGGAUUGGUCACUGCAAGGACAGUUAGACGUGGCAUUGGUGGCUGCUGUAAUCUGCCUAGCUGCUGCCAGAGUAUACAUAUAUUGUAACUGCGCAAUAAAAUCAGACCUGCGUCCUGCUUGGUCUCCGGAGGCCUUGAUUAGCGACUCCGCAGCCACACUCUACCCUGUUCCGAG
This 2958-nucleotide long non-coding RNA is filed under the name Marmota monax (woodchuck). Lineage: Eukaryota; Metazoa; Chordata; Mammalia; Rodentia; Sciuridae. The record is from RNAcentral.